RNAcentral lists this ribosomal RNA (664 nucleotides) under Staphylococcus capitis. RNAcentral's name for it is "bacterial SSU rRNA". It matches the Rfam family "Bacterial small subunit ribosomal RNA", at positions 28 to 674 of the family's 1533-position model. The record is from RNAcentral. Lineage: Bacteria; Bacillati; Bacillota; Bacilli; Caryophanales; Staphylococcaceae.
GAUGAACGCUGGCGGCGUGCCUAAUACAUGCAAGUCGAGCGAACAGACGAGGAGCUUGCUCCUCUGACGUUAGCGGCGGACGGGUGAGUAACACGUGGAUAACCUACCUAUAAGACUGGGAUAACUUCGGGAAACCGGAGCUAAUACCGGAUAACAUGUUGAACCGCAUGGUUCAACAGUGAAAGACGGUCUUGCUGUCACUUAUAGAUGGAUCCGCGCCGCAUUAGCUAGUUGGUAAGGUAACGGCUUACCAAGGCAACGAUGCGUAGCCGACCUGAGAGGGUGAUCGGCCACACUGGAACUGAGACACGGUCCAGACUCCUACGGGAGGCAGCAGUAGGGAAUCUUCCGCAAUGGGCGAAAGCCUGACGGAGCAACGCCGCGUGAGUGAAGAAGGUCUUCGGAUCGUAAAACUCUGUUAUUAGGGAAGAACAAAUGUGUAAGUAACUAUGCACGUCUUGACGGUACCUAAUCAGAAAGCCACGGCUAACUACGUGCCAGCAGCCGCGGUAAUACGUAGGUGGCAAGCGUUAUCCGGAAUUAUUGGGCGUAAAGCGCGCGUAGGCGGUUUUUUAAGUCUGAUGUGAAAGCCCACGGCUCAACCGUGGAGGGUCAUUGGAAACUGGAAAACUUGAGUGCAGAAGAGGAAAGUGGAAUUCCAUGU